CAAGGGAUAUUGCGCAAUGGGCGAAAGCCUGACGCAGCGACGCCGCGUGGGGGAAGAAGGCUUUCGGGUUGUAAACCCCUUUUCUUGGUGAAGAGUAAGGACGGUAACCGAGGAAUAAGUCUCGGCUAACUACGUGCCAGCAGCCGCGGUAAUACGUAGGAGGCAAGCGUUAUCCGGAAUCACUGGGCGUAAAGGGCGUGUAGGCGGCCCCUUAAGUUGGCUGUGAAAUCUCCCGGCUCAACCGGGAGGGGUCAGCCAAUACUGGGGGGCUAGAGGGCAGCAGAGGAAGGUGGAAUUCCCGGUGUAGCGGUGGAAUGCGUAGAUAUCGGGAGGAACACCAGUGGCGAAGGCGGCCUUCUGGGCUGCCCCUGACGCUGAGGCGCGAAAGCGUGGGGAGCGAAGUGG
Molecule: ribosomal RNA, 405 nt
Filed under: uncultured Dehalococcoidia bacterium
Lineage: Bacteria; Bacillati; Chloroflexota; Dehalococcoidia
Description: bacterial SSU rRNA
Rfam family: Bacterial small subunit ribosomal RNA
Source: RNAcentral